ACCAAGGCGACGAUCCUUAGCUGGUCUGAGAGGAUGAUCAGCCACACUGGGACUGAGACACGGCCCUUACUCCUACGGGAGGCAGCAGUGGGGAAUAUUGGACAAUGGGCGAAAGCCUGAUCCAGCAAUGCCGCGUGAGUGAUGAAGGCCCUAGGGUUGUAAAGCUCUUUUACCCGGGAUGAUAAUGACAGUACCGGGAGAAUAAGCCCCGGCUAACUCCGUGCCAGCAGCCGCGGUAAUA
Molecule: ribosomal RNA, 241 nt
Filed under: uncultured bacterium
Lineage: Bacteria
Description: partial 16S ribosomal RNA
Rfam family: Bacterial small subunit ribosomal RNA
Source: RNAcentral